GGCUCACCGGAUUCCCUUUUAAGCGGUGCAUCCCUGUGCGGCUGCUGGAUUUGUGGCGUCGAGGUUUGAGGUCUGAAGCAGCGCCGAAUCUCAAACUUACCUUUUGUUGGCAUCGCAGAUUUCGGUCUUCCAGGAGUGACAGAAGCGAAAUGGAGACGAAUGAGAAGAACGCCGCUGAUUUGGAGGACAAGAACCAGCCCAGCGGGCACGGCCAGCAGCCGAGCUUCCACGGGCCCGGGUUCUCGCUCUCGCCGGAAGCUCAGAUGGAUUCUUCCAGCAGUGCGCUGGCCGCCAUGGGGAACCCGUUCCCUCCUGGCUUGUGGAACCCACCUGGCCAGAACUUCGGGCUGGGGGAGACCAACACUAACGCUAUGCUUAAUGGGCACCAGUUCUCCUCGUUCUUGGGGAUGCUGUCAGCAGCGACGCCCGCAUAUCCCGGCGCCCAGUCGGGGUUCAUGGAUUGUGGGGCAGGGUUUCCUGGCUUAAGUGCAAACAGUCUUGGAGCCAUGAUGGAUCACCCUUUUUCUAGGAACCCUGCUAUGGGUAGUUUCCAAAACGAUAUUGAGACGUCUAGGGAGAUGAAUGUGGACGAAGGUUGCAAGGAUGCAUUAUUGACCGGUGAUAGGCAGCAAGGAGACACCGAGAGUUCACAUGGUGUUGAUGCCUCUAGCAAGGAGUUAAGCAAGCCGGAGUGCAGUGGUGGCGCUGGUCAGGAUGAAGGGCCUAGUGUCUCUUGUCCCAAGAAGAGGAAAAGACCAAGCCAGGAUCGUGGGGUGAAGCAUGUACAAGAAGGGAGCCAGCAAUUGGCAACUCUGGCUGCAAAGCAGGAGAAAGAUGACGACGACAAAGAUGAACCAAAGAGGCCUGUUGGGACAUCCAGAAAGUCCAACGGGAAGCAAACUGAGGAUAAAUCUGAUGCGCCAAAGGAAGAUUACAUUCAUAUAAGAGCUCGAAGUGGCCAGGCUACAAACAGCCAUAGUCUUGCAGAAAGGGUUCGGAGGGAAAAGAUUAGUGAAAGGAUGAAAUUUCUUCAGGACCUUGUUCCUGGUUGUAGUAAAGUCAUUGGUAAGGCCGUUAUGCUGGAUGAGAUAAUCAAUUAUGUUCAAUCAUUACAGCGGCAAGUUGAGUUUUUGUCGAUGAAACUUUCAGCUGUCAAUCCAGCACUAGACUUCAACAUAGAGCGCAUUCUAUCUAAGGAUUUAUUUCAGUCUCAAGGAACUGCAUCGUCUACCUUUGGCUUCUUACCAGACAUUGGCCAUCAAUUUUUGCAUCCACCAAAACAUUCUCAAGCUGCGUUGCACAGCAUUGUAAAUCCCGCCGAUGCAUUUGGAAGGGUAACAAAUGCUCCGGUAGGAUGUACAUUCAAAGAGGCCACACAUCAGGUGCCCAAUAAUUUUGAUGGAGAGUUCCACAACGUGAUUGGGAUGCCUUUUACCCUGUUUAAUGACCAUGAAUCAAAUGAUAAACCUUGAGCAAUAGAUUCCGCAACCGAAGCAAGAAAUCAUAACGGGCCAAGAGAUUUCAACAGAACAACAUGUGAGCUUGUUGACACUGUUCCACUAGCUCGCAUUUGAGCACUGAAGUAUAUCCAUCCAAAUUGCUUAAUUGUUGAUUUCCCAAUAUUGGAAUCAGCACUUGAGAUAUCCUAUAGAGGCCCUUUCCUCAGAUGUACCAUUUGCUAUUGGAGGAAGCUGGAGAUCCGACUCUCGGGACGUCCACAUGGAGAUUUCAAGCUUUACAUUCUCCUCUGAAAAUUUACGUGUAUAACUAUUGGUGAUUCAACAAUCUUUGCAUCAUGAUGGUGAGUUCCAUUUUGCCAGAAGGUGGCUGUAUCUGGGUACCAUCUAGUUCAGACCCAGUAAUAUUGUAAAAUGCUCUCUUUCUGCAAGAUUCACACUCCGCGGUAUAAUAUAACAGCCUUUGGUUUGUUAGUUGCUAGUAUCGUGAGAGUGAAAGAAGAAUCUUUGUUGUACUUCUAUGGCUGCGCAUGCAACCAUAUAGAACUGUGUACUGGUUUUCGAUUUCUUGAGAAUAUUAUGAGUGUAUUUUCAGC
Molecule: ribosomal RNA, 2053 nt
Filed under: Triticum aestivum (bread wheat)
Lineage: Eukaryota; Viridiplantae; Streptophyta; Magnoliopsida; Poales; Poaceae
Description: partial small subunit ribosomal RNA
Source: RNAcentral